RNAcentral lists this ribosomal RNA (434 nucleotides) under Crystallibacter crystallopoietes. RNAcentral's name for it is "bacterial SSU rRNA". It matches the Rfam family "Bacterial small subunit ribosomal RNA", at positions 21 to 456 of the family's 1533-position model. The record is from RNAcentral. Lineage: Bacteria; Bacillati; Actinomycetota; Actinomycetes; Micrococcales; Micrococcaceae.
GGCUCAGGACGAACGCUGGCGGCGUGCUUAACACAUGCAAGUCGAACGAUGAUCCGGUGCUUGCACCGGGGAUUAGUGGCGAACGGGUGAGUAACACGUGAGUAACCUGCCCUUGACUCUGGGAUAAGCCUGGGAAACCGGGUCUAAUACCGGAUACGACCUGUCACCGCAUGGUGGUGGGUGGAAAGAUUUUUUGGUUUUGGAUGGACUCGCGGCCUAUCAGCUUGUUGGUGAGGUAAUGGCUCACCAAGGCGACGACGGGUAGCCGGCCUGAGAGGGUGACCGGCCACACUGGGACUGAGACACGGCCCAGACUCCUACGGGAGGCAGCAGUGGGGAAUAUUGCACAAUGGGCGAAAGCCUGAUGCAGCGACGCCGCGUGAGGGAUGACGGCCUUCGGGUUGUAAACCUCUUCAGCAGGGAAGAAGCGAAAG